CAUUUCGAUUCUGCGCAGAAAGUGGCACAAUGAUGGGCCAACUGGGCUAGAAUUAAUCUGCUGUUUUAGUGGGCCGGGUCAUCCAAAAUUAAUAAGUGAUUGCUGUUUUCAUUUUGGCAAAAAACGGGAGUGGCUGAACACAUUUUUUUCUCUCAUUUAAAUGGGCUGGCCAGAUUUUGACAAGUGGCCAAUUACCUGCCAUUGGAUGGAGAAUUCAAGUGGUAUUCAUAUUUAAUUCAUUAGGGCUGGACGAAAAGGAAACAUAAAGAAUUCAGAUUUCUCUCUCUCUCUCUCUCUCUCUCUCUCUCUCUCUCAUUUUUAAGAGUUCUUCUCUGCCUCUCGUCUCUCCCUCUCUCUUGGUGGUCCAUUAUAUAUCAAUUUUUGCAUUCCAAAAAUUUAGCCUAUUGAUGAGAAAUUAGUCCUACCUUGUAUAGAUAAUCUUGAGUGAUUUAACAAGGUGUAUAAGUGUUAUUCUUGAGUGAAUGCCAUUGUCGAAGUAUAGAAGCUUGUGUUGAAAUAAUCUUGAGAGAUUAUUGUAUAGGCUUCGAUUCACCAUUCUUGAGUGAAUGUUGUCGGUUUAUGAGGCUUAAUUUUGGGGGAAAUCUUCUGUGAUUUUCUCCUGAGUGCCAAAAAGAUUGUACUAG
This 644-nucleotide long non-coding RNA is filed under the name Olea europaea subsp. europaea. The record is from RNAcentral. Lineage: Eukaryota; Viridiplantae; Streptophyta; Magnoliopsida; Lamiales; Oleaceae.